UACGUAGGGCGCAAGCGUUGUCCGGAAUUAUUGGGCGUAAAGAGCUCGUAGGCGGUUUGUCGCGUCUGCUGUGAAAACCCGGGGCUCAACCCCGGGCCUGCAUUCGAUACGGGCAGGCUAGAGUUCGGUAGGGGAGUCUGGAAUUCCUGGUGUAGCGGUGAAAUGCGCAGAUAUCAGGAGGAACACCGGUGGCGAAGGCGGGACUCUGGGCCGAUACUGACGCUGAGGAGCGAAAGCGUGGGGAGCGAACAGG
RNAcentral lists this ribosomal RNA (253 nucleotides) under uncultured bacterium. Its description in RNAcentral is "partial 16S ribosomal RNA". It matches the Rfam family "Bacterial small subunit ribosomal RNA", at positions 524 to 776 of the family's 1533-position model. The record is from RNAcentral.